This 553-nucleotide ribosomal RNA is filed under the name uncultured archaeon. RNAcentral describes it as "bacterial SSU rRNA". It matches the Rfam family "Archaeal small subunit ribosomal RNA", at positions 326 to 879 of the family's 1478-position model. The record is from RNAcentral.
CGGGGUGCAGCAGGCGCGAAAACUUUACAAUGCUGGCAACAGCGAUAAGGGGACCUCGAGUGCCAGGUUACAAAUCUGGCUGUUGAGAUGCCUAAAAAGCAUUUCAUAGCAAGGGCCGGGCAAGACCGGUGCCAGCCGCCGCGGUAACACCGGCGGCUCGAGUGGUAACCGUUAUUAUUGGGUCUAAAGGGUCUGUAGCCGGCCGGAUAAGUCUCUUGGGAAAUCUGGCAGCUUAACUGUCAGGCUUUCAGGAGAUACUGUCUGGCUCGAGGCCGGGAGAGGUGAGAGGUACUUCAGGGGUAGGGGUGAAAUCUUGUAAUCCUUGAAGGACCACCAGUGGCGAAGGCGUCUCACCAGAACGGACCUGACGGCAAGGGACGAAAGCUAGGGGCACGAACCGGAUUAGAUACCCGGGUAGUCCUAGCCGUAAACGAUACUCGCUAGGUGUCGGCCACGGUGCGACCGUUGUCGGUGCCGUAGGGAAGCCGUGAAGCGAGCCACCUGGGAAGUACGGCCGCAAGGCUGAAACUUAAAGGAAUUGGCGGGGGAGCAC